AGUGAACGCUGGCGGCGUGCCUAAUACAUGCAAGUCGAACGGACAAGUAAGAGCUUGCUCUUAUGAGUUAGUGGCGCACGGGUGAGUAAUGUAUAGCUAAUCUGCCCCAUAGUGGAGGACAACAGUUGGAAACGACUGCUAAUACUCCAUACUCCAUUUAUAUAUAAGUAUAAAUGGGAAAGUCGAACCCUAUAUAUUGUUUAUUUAUCAAAUACCUACGGCGCAAUCGAAAGUUGCGGUGUGCUUUAGGUGGGUCAAGGGAGCGUAGCUCCUUGUCGCAAAGACGGACUUUGUUCGUCUGCGAAGUAAAUAAUAUAUAGGGUUUCUCGCUAUGGGAUGAGGCUAUAUCGUAUCAGCUAGUUGGUAAGGUAAUAGCUUACCAAGGCUAUGACGCGUAACUGGUCUGAGAGGAUGAUCAGUCACACUGGAACUGAGACACGGUCCAGACUCCUACGGGAGGCAGCAGUAGGGAAUAUUGCUCAAUGGGGGAAACCCUGAAGCAGCAACGCCGCGUGGAGGAUGACACUUUUCGGAGCGUAAACUCCUUUUCUUGGGGAAGAA
This 561-nucleotide ribosomal RNA is filed under the name Campylobacter curvus. RNAcentral's name for it is "bacterial SSU rRNA". It matches the Rfam family "Bacterial small subunit ribosomal RNA", at positions 29 to 449 of the family's 1533-position model. The record is from RNAcentral. Lineage: Bacteria; Pseudomonadati; Campylobacterota; Epsilonproteobacteria; Campylobacterales; Campylobacteraceae.